GAUGAACGCUGGCGGCGUGCCUAACGCAUGCAAGUCGAGCGGUAAGGCUCUGCACAGUUUGCUUCUGACGCCCGUACGGGCGAUUCAGCAGGAGCAAAGCGUGUAGAGUACACGAGCGGCGGACGGCUGAGUAACACGUAGGAACGUACCCCAAAGUGAGGGAUAAGCUCCAGAAAUGGUGUCUAAUACCGCAUGUGGUCUAAGGAUUAAAGCUUCGGCGCUUUGGGAACGGCCUGCGCAUGAUUAGCUUGUUGGUGAGGUAACGGCUCACCAAGGCUACGAUCAUUAGCUGGUCUGAGAGGAUGAUCAGCCAGACUGGGACUGAGACACGGCCCAGACUCCUACGGGAGGCAGCAGCGGGGAAUUUUUCACAAUGGACGAAAGUCUGAUGGAGCAACGCCGCGUGCAGGAUGAAUGCCUUCGGGUUGUAAACUGCUUUUAUCUGUGAAGAUUAUGACGGUAGCAGAUGAAUAAGGAUCGGCUAAUUCCGUGC
Molecule: ribosomal RNA, 493 nt
Filed under: uncultured bacterium
Lineage: Bacteria
Description: bacterial SSU rRNA
Rfam family: Bacterial small subunit ribosomal RNA
Source: RNAcentral